RNAcentral lists this ribosomal RNA (472 nucleotides) under Photobacterium sp. CS2. RNAcentral's name for it is "bacterial SSU rRNA". It matches the Rfam family "Bacterial small subunit ribosomal RNA", at positions 12 to 480 of the family's 1533-position model. The record is from RNAcentral. Lineage: Bacteria; Pseudomonadati; Pseudomonadota; Gammaproteobacteria; Vibrionales; Vibrionaceae.
UUUGAUGGUGGCUCAGAUUGAACGCUGGCGGCAGGCCUAACACAUGCAAGUCGAGCGGUAACAGAAAUUAGCUUGCUAAUUUGCUGACGAGCGGCGGACGGGUGAGUAAUGCCUGGGAAUAUACCCUGAUGUGGGGGAUAACUAUUGGAAACGAUAGCUAAUACCGCAUAAUCUCUUCGGAGCAAAGAGGGGGACCUUCGGGCCUCUCGCGUCAGGAUUAGCCCAGGUGGGAUUAGCUAGUUGGUGGGGUAAUGGCUCACCAAGGCGACGAUCCCUAGCUGGUCUGAGAGGAUGAUCAGCCACACUGGAACUGAGACACGGUCCAGACUCCUACGGGAGGCAGCAGUGGGGAAUAUUGCACAAUGGGGGAAACCCUGAUGCAGCCAUGCCGCGUGUAUGUAGAAGGCCUUCGGGUUGUAAAGUACUUUCAGUUGUGAGGAAGGCGUUGGAGUUAAUAGCUUCAGCGCUGACG